UGCGCAUGAUCGUGGUGAUCGUGAUCGUGAUCGUGAUCGUGAUCGUGAUCGUGAUCGUGAUCGUGAUCGUGAUCGUGAUCGUGAUCGUCGGCCUUG
Molecule: microRNA precursor, 96 nt
Filed under: Thiomonas bhubaneswarensis
Lineage: Bacteria; Pseudomonadati; Pseudomonadota; Betaproteobacteria; Burkholderiales
Description: microRNA mir-598
Source: RNAcentral